RNAcentral lists this transfer RNA (75 nucleotides) under Puniceicoccales bacterium. RNAcentral describes it as "tRNA-Glu". It matches the Rfam family "tRNA". From Rfam's summary of the family: Transfer RNA (tRNA) molecules are approximately 80 nucleotides in length. Their secondary structure includes four short double-helical elements and three loops (D, anti-codon, and T loops). Further hydrogen bonds mediate the characteristic L-shaped molecular structure. tRNAs have two regions of fundamental functional importance: the anti-codon, which is responsible for specific mRNA codon recognition, and the 3' end, to which the tRNAs corresponding amino acid is attached (by aminoacyl-tRNA synthetases). tRNAs cope with the degeneracy of the genetic code in two manners: having more than one tRNA (with a specific anti-codon) for a particular amino acid; and 'wobble' base-pairing, i.e. permitting non-standard base-pairing at the 3rd anti-codon position. Lineage: Bacteria; Pseudomonadati; Verrucomicrobiota; Opitutia; Puniceicoccales. The record is from RNAcentral.
GCCCCCAUCGUCUAGCGGCUAGGACGUUGGAUUCUCAUUCCAGAAACCGGGGUUCGAUUCCCCGUGGGGGUGCCA